CAGCCGCCACGGUAAUACGGAGGGUGCAAGCGUUAAUCGGAAUUACUGGGCGUAAAGCGCACGCAGGCGGUCUGUCAAGUCAGAUGUGAAAUCCCCGGGCUUAACCUGGGAACUGCAUUUGAAACUGGCAGGCUAGAGUCUUGUAGAGGGGGGUAGAAUUCCAGGUGUAGCGGUGAAAUGCGUAGAGAUCUGGAGGAAUACCGGUGGCGAAGGCGGCCCCCUGGACAAAGACUGACGCUCAGGUGCGAAAGCGUGGGGAGCAAACAGGAUUAGAUACCCGCGUAGUCCCUGUCUCUUAUAC
RNAcentral lists this ribosomal RNA (301 nucleotides) under uncultured bacterium. RNAcentral's name for it is "partial 16S ribosomal RNA". It matches the Rfam family "Bacterial small subunit ribosomal RNA", at positions 509 to 807 of the family's 1533-position model. The record is from RNAcentral.